AACGCAUCUUGCGCUCCAUGGUAUUCCGUGGAGCAUGCCUGUUUGAGUGUCACGUCAACCCUCACCCUUGCGAUGUCACAGUCGCAAGAGUGGAUUUGGACCGUGCCGUAGUCGGCUCGUCCUGAAAUGCAUUAGCUCGUGCUUUUAGAGUGCGGGGCAUCGGUGUGAUAAUUAUCUGCGCCAACGCCCUUACGCCUCUUCAGUGGUGCGGCUUCUAAUCGUCCCUCGAGGACACUUUUUAAAGCUUUGGCCUCAAAUCAGGUAGGACUACCCGCUGAACUUAA
Molecule: unclassified non-coding RNA, 284 nt
Filed under: uncultured fungus
Lineage: Eukaryota; Fungi
Description: sequence contains ITS2
Rfam family: 5.8S ribosomal RNA (bases 1-52)
Source: RNAcentral